RNAcentral lists this unclassified non-coding RNA (192 nucleotides) under Glomus sp. RNAcentral's name for it is "partial contains 5.8S ribosomal RNA and internal transcribed spacer 2". The stretch from base 1 to 65 matches the Rfam family "5.8S ribosomal RNA", at positions 84 to 154 of the family's 154-position model. Lineage: Eukaryota; Fungi; Glomeromycota; Glomeromycetes; Glomerales; Glomeraceae. The record is from RNAcentral.
GUGAAUCAUCAAAUUUUUGAACGCAAAUUGCACUCUCUUCGGAGAGUAUGCCUGUUUGAGGGUCAGCCUAAAAAAAAAUCGACAUAGUCGCUGUUUCGUGGUGACAUUCGUCGGUAAUUGGGUCAUCUUAAAUCUUUUGGUUUUAAGCGUAUUAAAGUUUUCUUUACGAUUCUAUGAACGCUUCUAAGAUUU